GGAGAAAAGCAGGGGAUCGCAAGACCUUGCGCUAAAGGAGCGGCCGAUGUCUGAUUAGUUAGUUGGUGGGGUAAAGGCCUACCAAGGCAACGAUCAGUAGCUGGUCUGAGAGGACGAUCAGCCACACUGGGACUGAGACACGGCCCAGACUCCUACGGGAGGCAGCAGUGGGGAAUUUUGGACAAUGGGCGAAGGCCUGAUCCAGCCAUGCCGCGUGAAUGAAGAAGGCCUUCGGGUUGUAAAGUUCUUUUAGUUGGAAAGAAAAAAUUAUGAUGAAUAAUCAUAAUUCAUGACGGUACCGACAGAAAAAGCACCGGCUAACUACGUGCCAGCAGCCGCGGUAAUACGUAGGGUGCAAGCGUUAAUCGGAAUUACUGGGCGUAAAGGGUGUGCAGGCGGCCUUGUUAAGUUAGGGGAGUUGGUUGA
RNAcentral lists this ribosomal RNA (426 nucleotides) under uncultured Nitrosomonas sp. Its description in RNAcentral is "bacterial SSU rRNA". It matches the Rfam family "Bacterial small subunit ribosomal RNA", at positions 198 to 604 of the family's 1533-position model. Lineage: Bacteria; Pseudomonadati; Pseudomonadota; Betaproteobacteria; Nitrosomonadales; Nitrosomonadaceae. The record is from RNAcentral.